Non-coding RNA from Podarcis lilfordi (Lilford's wall lizard), 75 nucleotides. The record is from the annotation of a GenBank genome assembly. Lineage: Eukaryota; Metazoa; Chordata; Lepidosauria; Squamata; Lacertidae.
GCUGGGGAUAGCUCAGUUGGUAGAGCAUGAGACUCUUAUUCCCAAGGUUGUGGGUUCAAAGACCCACUUUGGGCA